CUGAGAGGGUGAUCGGCCACAUUGGAACUGAGACACGGUCCAAACUCCUACGGGAGGCAGCAGUGGGGAAUAUUGCACAAUGGGCGAAAGCCUGAUGCAGCAACGCCGCGUGAGCGAUGAAGGCCUUCGGGUCGUAAAGCUCUGUCCUCAAGGAAGAUAACGGUACUUGAGGAGGAAGCCCCGGCUAACUACGUGCCAGCAGCCGC
RNAcentral lists this ribosomal RNA (206 nucleotides) under uncultured Clostridium sp. RNAcentral describes it as "partial 16S ribosomal RNA". It matches the Rfam family "Bacterial small subunit ribosomal RNA", at positions 292 to 518 of the family's 1533-position model. Lineage: Bacteria; Bacillati; Bacillota; Clostridia; Eubacteriales; Clostridiaceae. The record is from RNAcentral.